This 499-nucleotide ribosomal RNA is filed under the name uncultured bacterium. RNAcentral describes it as "partial 16S ribosomal RNA". It matches the Rfam family "Bacterial small subunit ribosomal RNA", at positions 28 to 507 of the family's 1533-position model. The record is from RNAcentral.
GACGAACGCUGGCGGCGUGCCUAAUACAUGCAAGUCGAGCGGACUUUCAAGAAGCUUGCUUUUUGAAAGUUAGCGGCGGACGGGUGAGUAACACGUGGGCAACCUGCCUGCAAGACGGGGAUAACUCCGGGAAACCGGGGCUAAUACCGGAUAAUAUCUUCCUUCGCAUGAAGGAAGGUUGAAAGGCGGCGCAAGCUGCCGCUUGCAGAUGGGCCCGCGGCGCAUUAGCUAGUUGGUGAGGUAACGGCUCACCAAGGCGACGAUGCGUAGCCGACCUGAGAGGGUGAUCGGCCACACUGGGACUGAGACACGGCCCAGACUCCUACGGGAGGCAGCAGUAGGGAAUCUUCCGCAAUGGACGAAAGUCUGACGGAGCAACGCCGCGUGAGCGAAGAAGAUCUUCGGAUCGUAAAGCUCUGUUGUCAGGGAAGAACAAGUACCGUUCGAACAGGGCGGUACCUUGACGGUACCUGACCAGAAAGCCACGGCUAACUACGUG